This is an unclassified non-coding RNA of Papio anubis (olive baboon), 298 nucleotides long. It matches the Rfam family "Metazoan signal recognition particle RNA". From Rfam's summary of the family: The signal recognition particle (SRP) is a universally conserved ribonucleoprotein. It is involved in the co-translational targeting of proteins to membranes. The record is from Ensembl. NCBI's taxonomy places the organism in Eukaryota, Metazoa, Chordata, Mammalia, Primates, Cercopithecidae.
GCUGGGUGUAGUGGUCUGCUUGUAGUUCCAGCUACUUGGGAGGCUGAGGGAGGAGGAUCACUUGAGUCCAGCAAUUCUGGGUUGUAGUGUGCUAUGCCUAUCAGUUGUCUGCACUAAGUUUGUCAUCAAUUUCAUGUCCUCCUGGGAAUAGGAGACCAACAGGUUCCCUAAGAAGAGGUGAACCAGCCUAAGUUGGAAACGGAGCAAGUCAAAACUGCUGUACUGGUCAGUAGUGGGAUCUCACGCGUAAAGAGCUACUACAUUCCAACCUGGGCAACAUAGUGAGAUCCUGUCUCUA